UAUGGAAGCCAGGUGAGGAACAGAAAAGGUUUUCCCCACGAAAAGGGGGACUAAGGUCCUAACCCAACACAUUUCCAUGUCUGUUGGGACUGGGAGGAAAUUACAGUUUUAGCAAUAAAUGCAGAAAUCGGGACUUGAAUUUCUAGUUGGAUUUAGCAAUAUUGAAUAGCACAAAUUCGUGGUGUUGUUUUGGUUCUAAUCGGUAAUUAUUAUAAUCAUUAACUUGAGUUUCUUUGUUUGCCAUUUCCAGAGUUUGUCCAAUAACUUCAUAGUUUACUUUAAAUUCAUUGCAGGGGUUCUCCAAUUGACAAUCCAUAGUUGUAAACAGAAGGACAAAUCUGUCCUGGAAAGGAGCUUGCUUAUCAAUGCCAGGGGAAAUUAACUUCGAUGCCAUGUCUUUCAGCUCUACAGGUAUUCCAUUUAUCAGUGCUUCUUACUUUUGCUUAUGGGCUCUCCACCAUGCCAAAAGAAAAUAUAUAUUUCCUUCGUGAAUCUUAUUCUUCAAUGGAGAUGGGGACCCCCCAACCACUCACAAAGUCGCAAUAUCACAAGACAUACAAGUGCUAUUGUGCAUACACGGAUGCCAACAUGUGCAAAUGUUGUUAUUCUUUGAAAUGGAUGCUGUUUACAGGAGCAUUAGGAUUGAGAUUUUAUGGAAGAAUCCUUGUUUCUCAUGUGGGUAUUGUGUUAGGAGUAUUGAAAAUGAAUGAAUUGUUAGUUUGUAAUGCCGUAUAACAUAUAAGAUGUAUGAUAAAAUAUGGAGAAAGAGAAGGAGAUUCAUUUUAGAGAAAUGGAAGAAUCCUGUGUCUCACUCAGAAUCCUCUUUUAAUAAAGAAAGAAAGAGGACUUCAACUUGUAAGUGGAGUUCAUUGCUCACUAUCAACGGUGACACAGGCUUGGACUCUUUCUAUUUUCAGAUUUUUCAUUCCACAGAUUAAUCAAACUCUCUUAGUAAAAAAAAGAAGAAACAGGAAAAA
This is a long non-coding RNA of Mangifera indica (mango), 977 nucleotides long. RefSeq lists it as uncharacterized. Lineage: Eukaryota; Viridiplantae; Streptophyta; Magnoliopsida; Sapindales; Anacardiaceae. The transcript is spliced from 2 exons. The record is from RefSeq and is a predicted model, not a curated record.